This is a long non-coding RNA of Hordeum vulgare subsp. vulgare (domesticated barley), 1254 nucleotides long. RefSeq lists it as uncharacterized. The transcript is spliced from 2 exons. The record is from RefSeq and is a predicted model, not a curated record. NCBI's taxonomy places the organism in Eukaryota, Viridiplantae, Streptophyta, Magnoliopsida, Poales, Poaceae.
GUUCAGACUUUGCACUGAUUAAGCAGAUUAAGGGAAACAAUCAACACAUGCUAAAUGUUGUAUGCUUUCUCAAGAUCAAAUCAAAGAUGUAAGAGGUGCACGCACGCACGGCGAGCUCGCCACGUCGCCGUCUCGAUAUCCUCCGGGAUACGAGAGGACGAAAAGUGCGCAUACUUAGUACAGGAGGUAGACGCGGGCUGUACGCCGACCACUCGACUACUCCGCGAAUGGAAUGGAGGCGAGCUCCGCCACGACAACGGCCGUCGGUCGCGGACACGAAUGGAGCGCGGUGACCACGCGCAUCGCGGCGAGCUCGCCAAGAAGAGACGAAUUUUCGCAUGGACCGAGGAGAAAGGCGCGCGCGCAUGCAUGCGUCGGCUGAAAGCCGCUCGUUUCGUGCUGACUCGGCAGGCGCCUGCGCUGCAAGGUCACUGCCUCACGCCUGUCGCGUCGGAGAGCGGGAGAGGGAGAGGGGCCUGGCAUCCUCGCCGAGCUUUCGCCGAGCUCGUUGUCAGCACGUCGUGGCAGCGGAAGAGUUCACGUGCAUGCUCUAUUUGUAGCAUGUACGAGUAUGUGUGGAUUAGUCAUGUUUUAUAAGCAUUGACUCACAGCCCUCACGGGUUGGGGGAUCUGCCGUCGAUGCGGCACCCAGCCCCGCAUCACAGCCGAGAGCACAUCCUUCGCCGUCUCGCCGCCGAAGGGGAGCGCGCCGCCGGAGAGCAGCACAUACAUGACAACGCCCGCGCUCCACACGUCCGUCUUCUCGCCGUAGUCGCCGCCGGACACAACCUCGGGCGCGACGUAGUGGUGGUUGCCCACGAGGCCCUCGGCGCGGCCACCGUCGGCGCCGAUCCAUGCGACCGACCCGAAAUCCGCGUCUCAAUCUCUCUCCGGCGACGAGGCGGGGCUUGAGCCGCCGCAUCGCCCUCAGCCGCUCCAGCCGCCGCGUUGACCCGAUCCAGAUACUGCGCGGGUAGGUAAAUAAAGGUAUAGGUACCCAGAUACAAAUGCUUAUGAGGAAACCCAGCUGAAGUGGGAGUUGGACGAGGACAAUGGCCGGCUGUACGUGACGUGCCGCAACGACUAGAUGCAUUUGGUCGUGAUCAUGGGCCUAGAAAGGCGAGAUAGCAUUAGCUUUUGUCGUUUAUAUUGUCCGUAGAUGGACCCUCUUUUCUAUCUGAAUAAUGAAUGAUUGUGUGGAAUUGUAAUUUAGCUGCGGCGAGUGUAAGCCGAAUCUUAAUACUCUUGCAUCUA